UUUAGAUGACGAAGUGGUCGAUGCCAUGCUUCCAGGAAAAGCUUCUAAGCUUCAGGUAACUAGGAACCGUACCCCAAACCGACACAGGUGGUUGGGUAGAGAAUACCAAGGCGCUUGAGAGAACUCGGGUGAAGGAACUAGGCAAAAUGGCACCGUAACUUCGGGAGAAGGUGCGCCGGUGAGGGUGAAGUAUUUACUACGUAAGCCCAUGCCGGUCGAAGAUACCAGGCCGCUGCGACUGUUUAUUAAAAACACAGCACUCUGCAAACACGAAAGUGGACGUAUAGGGUGUGACGCCUGCCCGGUGCCGGAAGGUUAAUUGAUGGGGUUAGCUAACGCGAAGCUCUUGAUCGAAGCCCCGGUAAACGGCGGCCGUAACUAUAACGGUCCUAAGGUAGCGAAAUUCCUUGUCGGGUAAGUUCCGACCUGCACGAAUGGCGUAACGAUGGCGGCGCUGUCUCCACCCGAGACUCAGUGAAAUUGAAAUCGCUGUGAAGAUGCAGUGUAUCCGCGGCUAGACGGAAAGACCCCGUGAACCUUUACUAUAGCUUUGCACUGGACUUUGAAUUUGCUUGUGUAGGAUAGGUGGGAGGCUUUGAAGCGUGGACGCUAGUCUGCGUGGAGCCAAUCUUGAAAUACCACCCUGGCAACUUUGAGGUUCUAACUCUGGUCCGUUAUCCGGAUCGAGGACAGUGUAUGGUGGGUAGUUUGACUGGGGCGGUCUCCUCCUAAAGAGUAACGGAGGAGUACGAAGGUGCGCUCAGACCGGUCGGAAAUCGGUCGUAGAGUAUAAAGGCAAAAGCGCGCUUGACUGCGAGACAGACACGUCGAGCAGGUACGAAAGUAGGUCUUAGUGAUCCGGUGGUUCUGUAUGGAAGGGCCAUCGCUCAACGGAUAAAAGGUACUCCGGGGAUAACAGGCUGAUACCGCCCAAGAGUUCAUAUCGACGGCGGUGUUUGGCACCUCGAUGUCGGCUCAUCACAUCCUGGGGCUGAAGCCGGUCCCAAGGGUAUGGCUGUUCGCCAUUUAAAGUGGUACGCGAGCUGGGUUUAGAACGUCGUGAGACAGUUCGGUCCCUAUCUGCCGUGGACGUUUGAGAUUUGAGAGGGGCUGCUCCUAGUACGAGAGGACCGGAGUGGACGAACCUCUGGUGUUCCGGUUGUCACGCCAGUGGCAUUGCCGGGUAGCUAUGUUCGGGAAAGAUAACCGCUGAAAGCAUCUAAGCGGGAAACUUGCCUCGAGAUGAGAUCUCACUGGAACCUUGAGUUCCCUAAAGGGCCGUCGAAGACUACGACGUUGAUAGGUUGGGUGUGUAAGCGCUGUGAGGCGUUGAGCUAACCAAUACUAAUUGCCCGUGAGGCUUGACCU
This 1368-nucleotide ribosomal RNA is filed under the name metagenome. RNAcentral describes it as "bacterial LSU rRNA". It matches the Rfam family "Bacterial large subunit ribosomal RNA", at positions 1577 to 2925 of the family's 2925-position model. The record is from RNAcentral.